Molecule: ribosomal RNA, 400 nt
Filed under: uncultured Allobosea sp.
Lineage: Bacteria; Pseudomonadati; Pseudomonadota; Alphaproteobacteria; Hyphomicrobiales; Alloboseaceae
Description: bacterial SSU rRNA
Rfam family: Bacterial small subunit ribosomal RNA
Source: RNAcentral
CUGGGCUUGACAUGUCCAGUAUGGGCCCCAGAGAUGGGGUCCUUCAGUUCGGCUGGCUGGAACACAGGUGCUGCAUGGCUGUCGUCAGCUCGUGUCGUGAGAUGUUGGGUUAAGUCCCGCAACGAGCGCAACCCUCGCCCUUAGUUGCCAUCAUUCAGUUGGGCACUCUAAGGGGACUGCCGGUGAUAAGCCGCGAGGAAGGUGGGGAUGACGUCAAGUCCUCAUGGCCCUUACAGGUUGGGCUACACACGUGCUACAAUGGCGGUGACAAUGGGCAGCGAAGGGGCGACCUGGAGCUAAUCCCAAAAAGCCGUCUCAGUUCAGAUUGCACUCUGCAACUCGAGUGCAUGAAGGUGGAAUCGCUAGUAAUCGUGGAUCAGCACGCCACGGUGAAUACGUU